GGCGGACUGGGAAGGACGCGUUUCUACUGUGUGAUCCUGCCACCUUCCUUGCCCGACGCCAUGGGAGUGACUUGUUGACAUCCUCCUCCUCCUGUGUUCCUUAAUGGAAGCAAGAUACGUGAAAGAUGGAAAUGGAACGGAUGCAGUGUAGAACCCUGGAACCCUCUGCUCUUUCUUUAAAAAGAAACAAAACAAAACAGAAAUUGGAUCUUGCUGUUUUACACAUUGUGUCCCAGAUGCCUGUGGCUGAGGGCAAGAGUGUCCAGCAAACCGUAGAGCUCCUCACUCGGAAAUUGGAG
Sapajus apella (tufted capuchin) is the source of this 299-nucleotide long non-coding RNA. RefSeq lists it as uncharacterized. The record is from RefSeq and is a predicted model, not a curated record. The transcript has 3 exons. NCBI's taxonomy places the organism in Eukaryota, Metazoa, Chordata, Mammalia, Primates, Cebidae.